This 71-nucleotide transfer RNA is filed under the name Camelus bactrianus (Bactrian camel). It matches the Rfam family "tRNA". From Rfam's summary of the family: Transfer RNA (tRNA) molecules are approximately 80 nucleotides in length. Their secondary structure includes four short double-helical elements and three loops (D, anti-codon, and T loops). Further hydrogen bonds mediate the characteristic L-shaped molecular structure. tRNAs have two regions of fundamental functional importance: the anti-codon, which is responsible for specific mRNA codon recognition, and the 3' end, to which the tRNAs corresponding amino acid is attached (by aminoacyl-tRNA synthetases). tRNAs cope with the degeneracy of the genetic code in two manners: having more than one tRNA (with a specific anti-codon) for a particular amino acid; and 'wobble' base-pairing, i.e. permitting non-standard base-pairing at the 3rd anti-codon position. Lineage: Eukaryota; Metazoa; Chordata; Mammalia; Artiodactyla; Camelidae. RNAcentral also lists the same sequence under 2 other names. The record is from Rfam by way of RNAcentral.
AAAGGUAUAGCUCAGUGGUAGAGUUGUGUGCUUGAACCACGAGGUCCUGGGUUCAAUCCCCAGUGCCUCCA